Molecule: unclassified non-coding RNA, 153 nt
Filed under: uncultured Fusarium
Lineage: Eukaryota; Fungi; Ascomycota; Sordariomycetes; Hypocreales; Nectriaceae
Description: sequence contains ITS1
Source: RNAcentral
CCGAGUUUACAACUCCCAAACCCCUGUGAACAUACCUAUCGUUGCUUCGGCGGAUCCGCCCCGGUGCCUUCGGGCCCGGACUCAGGCGCCCGCCGGGGGACCCAAACUCUUGUAUUUCUUUAGUAUCUUCUGAGUAAACAAGCAAAUAAAUUA